AUCUACACUGAAAUGGCCAAAUUUGGGGUUCCACCUCCCAAAUUCCCUAUAUCCAAGGGUUGCUUUCAGACAAAAGCUACCAGGGCAAAGAGGUCUGGCUGGCCUAGACCUCUGAUGGCAGCCUUUCAUCUGCCCCUGAAACACCGGUGUUCUGUGCUUUCCUUCCUUUGGAAAAAAAACCAUCAUUCAACUCCAGGUGUCCAUGUCUGAAAUUGGGAUUCCACCUCUAAAAUUCCCUAUAUCCAACGGUUGCUCCCAGACAAAAUCUGCCAGUACCAUCAAGCCUGGCUGGCCUUGGCCUCUGGUGGCUGCCCCUGCCACACUGGGGCUUGGUUCUUUCCUUCCCAUGGAGAUCACUGUGACACUGUGGGCACCUCAUGGAACCAAGGGGAUCAUUGUGGCACCACUGGAGCCCAUGGAACCAAGGGGCCAUGGUGACACCGCGGGGCUUCAUGGACCCAGAGACCAUUAUGACUCUGUGGGGCCUGAUGGAACCAUGGAGACCAUUCCGACCCUUCAGGGCCUGGUGUCACCAAGGGGGCAUUGUGACACCUCAGGGCCUCCUGGAAGCAAGGGACCAUUGGGACACUGUGGGGCCCCAUGGAACUGAGGGAACAUGGAACAGGUCUGGCUGGCUUGGCCUCCCAGGAGCCACCUGACAGGUCUGGCUGAUCUUGGGAUGUCAAUGCCUGCCUCUCAUCAGCUCCUGGAGCAAUGGGGCUCUGUGCUCUCCUUUGUAUGGAAAAGAACCGUCUGUCUUUUCUGAUGCCCCUUGCCAAAACUGACACUCUGCCUAAAAAAUUUCCUAUAUUCAAGGGUAUCUCUAAGAACAGAAUCUGGCAGCUCUGGCUGGCCUUGUCCUCUGGUGGUCACCUCUCAUUUGCCCCUAAAACAGUGGGGCUCUGUUCCUUCAUUCCUAUGGAAAAGAACUGGUCUUCAUGUCCAGGAACCAUGGCCAAAAUUAGAAUUGGCCACUGAGCCCGGCCGGGCUCACGGAACCAUCUGCAGGCCCCGGGCAGAUAUUGACUCUGCCAGUGCUGCCAUCCUCCCUCCAGUGAGAGAAAAGGACACAGGGCAGGCACACAGAGGAGCAACAUGAAGACACCGAGGCAUUGAAAAGUAUGGGGAGAUGACUUGUUUCAGCAAAGGCCUCCAUGUAAAAGUAAGCAAAUGUUGAAGUAGCUGAGAUCCCAUGAGAAGUUUGAACAGAGAAAGAGAGCAGAGUGAUGAGACCCUGUGCCCUCAGGGAGAGAAGAAGACCUCUGUUCCCAGAGAUGAUUUCAGAAGCAGUUGAAGAGAACCUCUGGUCUUGAACAACUCAUCUUUAAACUAAUACCCCAUAAGCUGACAUGGCCCAUAAACACAGCUGUGGGAAAAGCUGUGAAAAAAUGGCAGGGAUUUCACUAUUUCACUUUUUCCGAGUGGCUGCUAUUCAUGGAACUUGAGAGCCACAAGAGAACUGUUUCCUUAUGGAGAAGUCUCCAUAGCAAGAAAAAGAGACUCCUCUCCCUAAGUGAAGUGAAGCAGGACUAUUCUAGAGGUGGUAAACUGACUGAAAAUUUUAGGUUUUGUCUCCUUACAUUGUCAAUAAGGAAGAAAAAGUUGUGGCGAGAAGAAGAGUGUUCUGAAAGUUUUGUGCUGAUUCUUAUUACUCUUUCUUUUAGUUACUGCUAAUAAACUUUUCUUUAUGC
This is a non-coding RNA of Taeniopygia guttata (zebra finch), 1691 nucleotides long. The record is from RefSeq and is a predicted model, not a curated record. Lineage: Eukaryota; Metazoa; Chordata; Aves; Passeriformes; Estrildidae.